AACGAACGCUGGCGGCAUGCCUAACACAUGCAAGUCGAACGAGACCUUCGGGUCUAGUGGCGCACGGGUGCGUAACGCGUGGGAACCUGCCCUUAGGUUCGGAAUAACUCUCCGAAAGGGGUGCUAAUACCGGAUAAUGUCUUCGGACCAAAGAUUUAUCGCCUAUGGGUGGGCCCGCGUUGGAUUAGCUUGUUGGUAGGGUAAAAGCCUAGCAAGGCGACGAUCCAUAGCUGGGCUGAGAGGAGGAUCAGCAACACUGGGACUGAGACACGGCCCAGACUCCUACGGGAGGGAGCAGGGGGGAAGAUGGGACGAUGGGCGAGUGCCUGAUCCAGCCAGGCCGCGUGAGUGAUGAAGGCGUUAGGGUUGUAUGGCUCUGUUACCCGGGAUGAUAAUGACAGUACCGGGAAGAUAGGCUCCGGCUAACUCCGU
Molecule: ribosomal RNA, 432 nt
Filed under: uncultured bacterium
Lineage: Bacteria
Description: partial 16S ribosomal RNA
Rfam family: Bacterial small subunit ribosomal RNA
Source: RNAcentral